CCUACGGGAGGCAGCAGUGGGGAAUAUUGCACAAUGGGCGCAAGCCUGAUGCAGCGACGCCGCGUGGGGGAUGACGGCCUUCGGGUUGUAAACUCCUUUCGCUAGGGACGAAGCUUUUUGUGACGGUACCUAGAUAAGAAGCACCGGCUAACUACGUGCCAGCAGCCGCGGUAAUACGUAGGGUGCGAGCGUUGUCCGGAAUUACUGGGCGUAAAGGGCUCGUAGGUGGUUUGUCGCGUCGUCUGUGAAAUUCCGGGGCUUAACUCCGGGCGUGCAGGCGAUACGGGCAUAACUUGAGUACUGUAGGGGUAACUGGAAUUCCUGGUGUAGCGGUGAAAUGCGCAGAUAUCAGGAGGAACACCGAUGGCGAAGGCAGGUUACUGGGCAGUUACUGACGCUGAGGAGCGAAAGCAUGGGUAGCGAACAGGAUUAGAUACCCUGGUAGUCCAUGCCGUAAACGGUGGGCGCUAGGUGUGAGGGUCUUUUCACGACUUUCGUGCCGUAGCUAACGCAUUAAGCGCCCGCCUGGGGAGUACGGCCGCAAGGCUAAAACUCAAAGAUAGUACGGCGNGAGAGCGCGACGACGACGACGAGGAGGAG
RNAcentral lists this ribosomal RNA (600 nucleotides) under uncultured bacterium. Its description in RNAcentral is "bacterial SSU rRNA". It matches the Rfam family "Bacterial small subunit ribosomal RNA", at positions 338 to 943 of the family's 1533-position model. The record is from RNAcentral.